RNAcentral lists this ribosomal RNA (460 nucleotides) under uncultured bacterium. RNAcentral describes it as "partial 16S ribosomal RNA". It matches the Rfam family "Bacterial small subunit ribosomal RNA", at positions 28 to 507 of the family's 1533-position model. The record is from RNAcentral.
GAUGAGCGCUGGCGGCAUGCCUAACACAUGCAAGUCGGACGGGAAGUGGUGUUUCCAGUGGCGGUCGGGUGAGUAACGCGUAAGAACCUGCCCUUGGGAUGGGAACAACAGCUGGGUACGGUUGCUAAUACCCCGCAGGCUGAGGAGCAAAAGGAGGAAUCCGCCCGAGGAGGCGCUCGCGUCUGAUUAGUUAGCUGGUGAGGCAAUAGCUUACCAAGGCGAUGAUCAGUAGCUGACCCGAGAGGAUGAUCGGCCACGCUGGUACUGAGACACGGGCCAGACUGAGACGGGAAGACGCAGCAGGGAACUAUGGGAAACGGCAGAAAGGAAGAUGCAGCAAUGCGGGGAGGGCUAAGAAGGCAAUGGGACGGGAAAGUAGAAGGACUAGGGAUGAAGAACUGCUUUUCCCGGAGAAGAAGCAAUGACGGUAUCUGGGGAAUAAGCAUCGGCUAACUCUGUG